This 778-nucleotide ribosomal RNA is filed under the name uncultured Neocallimastigales. RNAcentral's name for it is "partial large subunit ribosomal RNA". It matches the Rfam family "Eukaryotic large subunit ribosomal RNA", at positions 23 to 644 of the family's 3401-position model. Lineage: Eukaryota; Fungi; Neocallimastigomycota; Neocallimastigomycetes; Neocallimastigales. The record is from RNAcentral.
ACACGCAUGACACACUGCAUAUCAAUAAGCGGAGGAAAAGAAACUAACAAGGAUUCCCUUAGUAACGGCGAGUGAAGCGGGAAGAACUCAAAUUUGAAAUCUUCAAGGCUCUACCUUGACGAAUUGUAGUUUAUAAGAAGUGUUUUCUGUUAGUAGAGGUGGCUAAAAGUUCUUUGGAAUAGGACAUCAUAGAGGGUGAGAAUCCCGUAUUUGAUCAUUCUUUCUAACGUUGUGAUACACUUUCAACGAGUCGGAUUGUUUGGGAAUGCAGUCCAAAAUGGGUGGUAAGUUUCAUCUAAAGCUAAAUAUUGGCGAGAGACCGGAUAGCGAACAAGUACCGUGAGGGAAAGAUGAAAAGAACUUUGAAAAGAGAGUUAAACAGUACGUGAAAUUGUCAAAAGGGAAGCGUUUGACACCAGUGUUGUUUUUCCGAAAAUCAAUUACGAAUGUUUUGUUUUUGAGGAGUUAUGACUUCAUCGGCUUGCUUCUCUCUUUACGAAACUUUCUUAAUGCACUUUUCGGUUAACAAGUCAACAUCAAUUUCUUUUGUUGUAAAAGGGUAUGAGGAAGGUGGCUUUCUUUUCGGAGAAAGUGUUUAUAGCCUUGUGCCUCUGCAAUCGGAGAGAUUGAGGUCUGCAGCGUAGACCCUUCGGGGUUAGAUACAUUUGUGCUAAGUUAUAGCUUUUCAUAGACAACUUGUUGACUAUGUUAAGUCUUGUAGCUUACUCGCUUAUGCUAUUUUACCUACGCUUAGGAUGUUGAACUACUGAGACAUAGA